Molecule: ribosomal RNA, 468 nt
Filed under: uncultured bacterium
Lineage: Bacteria
Description: partial 16S ribosomal RNA
Rfam family: Bacterial small subunit ribosomal RNA
Source: RNAcentral
GACGAACGCUGGCGGCGUGCUUAACACAUGCAAGUCGAACGGAAAGGCCCUGCUUUUGUGGGGUGCUCGAGUGGCGAACGGGUGAGUAACACGUGAGUAACCUGCCCUUGACUUUGGGAUAACUUCAGGAAACUGGGGCUAAUACCGGAUAGGAUCUCCUGCUGCAUGGUGGGGGUUGGAAAGUUUCGGCGGUUGGGGAUGGACUCGCGGCUUAUCAGCUUGUUGGUGGGGUAGUGGCUUACCAAGGCUUUGACGGGUAGCCGGCCUGAGAGGGUGACCGGCCACAUUGGGACUGAGAUACGGCCCAGAAUCCUACGGGAGGCAGCAGUGGGGAAUAUUGCACAAUGGGCGGAAGCCUGAUGCAGCAACGCCGCGUGCGGGAUGACGGCCUUCGGGUUGUAAACCGAUUUCGACUGUGACGAAGCGUGAGUGACGGUAAUGGGUAAAGAAGCACCGGCUAACUACGUG